GAUGAACGCUGGCGGCGUGCCUAAUACAUGCAAGUCGAGCGAACAGACGAGGAGCUUGCUCCUCUGACGUUAGCGGCGGACGGGUGAGUAACACGUGGAUAACCUACCUAUAAGACUGGGAUAACUUCGGGAAACCGGAGCUAAUACCGGAUAAUAUAUUGAACCGCAUGGUUCAAUAGUGAAAGACGGUUUUGCUGUCACUUAUAGAUGGAUCCGCGCCGCAUUAGCUAGUUGGUAAGGUAACGGCUUACCAAGGCAACGAUGCGUAGCCGACCUGAGAGGGUGAUCGGCCACCCUGGAACUGGAACACGGUCCAGACUCCUACGGGAGGCAGCAGUAGGGAAUCUUCCGCAAUGGGCGAAAGCUUGACGGAGCAACGCCGCGUGAGUGAUGAAGGUCUUCGGAUCGUAAAGCUCUGUUAUUAGGGAAGAACAAAUGUGUAAGUAACUAUGCACGUCUUGACGGUACCUAAUCAGAAAGCCACGGCUAACUACGUG
This 497-nucleotide ribosomal RNA is filed under the name uncultured bacterium. RNAcentral describes it as "partial 16S ribosomal RNA". It matches the Rfam family "Bacterial small subunit ribosomal RNA", at positions 28 to 507 of the family's 1533-position model. The record is from RNAcentral.